CGUCCGCCCUGGGUUAGUCGGGACCUAAGGAGAGACCGAAAGGUGUAUCCGAUGGACAACAGGUUGAUAUUCCUGUACUAGAGUAUGUAGUGAUGGAGGGACGCAGUAGGCUAACUAAAGCAGACGAUUGGAAGAGUCUGUCUAAGCAGUGAGGCGUGGUAUGAGUCAAAUGCUUAUACCUAUAACGUUGAGCUGUGAUGGGGAGCGAAGUUUAGUAGCGAAGUUAGUGAUGUCACACUGCCGAGAAAAGCUUCUAGCGUUAAUUAUACUCUACCCGUACCGCAAACCGACACAGGUAGUCGAGGCGAGUAGCCUCAGGUGAGCGAGAGAACUCUCGUUAAGGAACUCGGCAAAAUGACCCCGUAACUUCGGGAGAAGGGGUGCUGGCUUAAAGUCAGCCGCAGUGAAUAGGCCCAAGCAACUGUUUAUCAAAAACACAGCUCUCUGCUAAAUCGUAAGAUGAUGUAUAGGGGGUGACGCCUGCCCGGUGCUGGAAGGUUAAGAGGAGUGCUUAGCGUAAGCGAAGGUAUGAAUUGAAGCCCCAGUAAACGGCGGCCGUAACUAUAACGGUCCUAAGGUAGCGAAAUUCCUUGUCGGGUAAGUUCCGACCCGCACGAAAGGCGUAAUGAUUUGGGCACUGUCUCAACGAGAGACUCGGUGAAAUUUUAGUACCUGUGAAGAUGCAGGUUACCCGCGACAGGACGGAAAGACCCCAUGGAGCUUUACUGCAGUUUGAUAUUGAGUGUCUGUGCCACAUGUACAGGAUAGGUAGGAGCCAUAGAGAUCGGGACGCCAGUUUCGAUGGAGGCGUUGUUGGGAUACUACCCUUGUGUUAUGGCCACUCUAACCCGGAUAGGUGAUCCCUAUCGGAGACAGUGUCUGACGGGCAGUUUGACUGGGGCGGUCGCCUCCUAAAAGGUAACGGAGGCGCCCAAAGGUUCCCUCAGAAUGGUUGGAAAUCAUUCGCAGAGUGUAAAGGUAUAAGGGAGCUUGACUGCGAGAGCUACAACUCGAGCAGGGACGAAAGUCGGGCUUAGUGAUCCGGUGGUUCCGCAUGGAAGGGCCAUCGCUCAACGGAUAAAAGCUACCCUGGGGAUAACAGGCUGAUCUCCCCCAAGAGU
Molecule: ribosomal RNA, 1121 nt
Filed under: human gut metagenome
Description: bacterial LSU rRNA
Rfam family: Bacterial large subunit ribosomal RNA
Source: RNAcentral